RNAcentral lists this ribosomal RNA (376 nucleotides) under uncultured organism. Its description in RNAcentral is "partial 16S ribosomal RNA". It matches the Rfam family "Bacterial small subunit ribosomal RNA", at positions 526 to 896 of the family's 1533-position model. The record is from RNAcentral.
GGAGGGGCGCAAGCGUUGUCCGGAAUUACUGGGCGUAAAGGGGGGCGCAGGCGGGCUUGUUAAGUCCUGUGUGAAGACCCGCGGGCUCAACCGCGGAAUGCCACAGGAUACUGGCGAGCUAGAGACGGGUAGAGGCGAGUGGAAUUCCCGGUGUAGCGGUGGAAUGCGUAGAUAUCGGGAAGAACACCAGUGGCGAAGGCGACUCGCUGGGCCCGUUCUGACGCUCAGGCCCGAAAGCGUGGGGAGCAAACAGGAUUAGAUACCCUGGUAGUCCACGCCGUAAACGAUGGGCACUAGGUGCUGGGGAGUGUGACCUUUUCGGUGCCGUAGCUAACGCGUUAAGUGCCCCGCCUGGGGAGUACGGCCGCAAAGGCUG